This 771-nucleotide ribosomal RNA is filed under the name uncultured bacterium. RNAcentral describes it as "bacterial SSU rRNA". It matches the Rfam family "Bacterial small subunit ribosomal RNA", at positions 8 to 796 of the family's 1533-position model. The record is from RNAcentral.
AGAGUUUGAUCCUGGCUCAGGACGAACGCUGGCGGCGUGCUUAACACAUGCAAGUCGAACGGAAAGGCCCUUCGGGGUACUCGAGUGGCGAACGGGUGAGUAACACGUGGGUGAUCUGCCCUGCACUUUGGGAUAAGCCUGGGAAACUGGGUCUAAUACCGAAUAUGACCAUGCACUUCCUGGUGUGUGGUGGAAAGCUUUUGCGGUGUGGGAUGGGCCCGCGGCCUAUCAGCUUGUUGGUGGGGUAAUGGCCUACCAAGGCGACGACGGGUAGCCGGCCUGAGAGGGUGACCGGCCACACUGGGACUGAGAUACGGCCCAGACUCCUACGGGAGGCAGCAGUGGGGAAUAUUGCACAAUGGGCGCAAGCCUGAUGCAGCGACGCCGCGUGAGGGAUGACGGCCUUCGGGUUGUAAACCUCUUUCAGCACAGACGAAGCGCUAGUGACGGUAUGUGCAGAAGAAGGACCGGCCAACUACGUGCCAGCAGCCGCGGUAAUACGUAGGGUCCGAGCGUUGUCCGGAAUUACUGGGCGUAAAGAGCUCGUAGGUGGUUUGUCGCGUUGUUCGUGAAAACUCACAGCUUAACUGUGGGCGUGCGGGCGAUACGGGCAGACUUGAGUACUGCAGGGGAGACUGGAAUUCCUGGUGUAGCGGUGAAAUGCGCAGAUAUCAGGAGGAACACCGGUGGCGAAGGCGGGUCUCUGGGCAGUAACUGACGCUGAGGAGCGAAAGCGUGGGGAGCGAACAGGAUUAGAUACCCUGGUAGUCC